RNAcentral lists this ribosomal RNA (228 nucleotides) under uncultured bacterium. RNAcentral's name for it is "partial 16S ribosomal RNA". It matches the Rfam family "Bacterial small subunit ribosomal RNA", at positions 127 to 354 of the family's 1533-position model. The record is from RNAcentral.
CGCCCCUGUCAGGGGGACAACCCGCCGAAAGGCGGGCUAAACCCGCGUACAUGCCACCGGGGCAUCCCGGAGGCAGGAAAGGCUUCGGCCGGACAGGGAUGGGCAUGCGGCGCAUUAGGCAGUAGGCGGGGUAACGGCCCACCUAACCGACGAUGCGUAGGGGUUCUGAGAGGAAGGUCCCCCACACUGGUACUGAGACACGGACCAGACUCCUACGGAAGGCAGCAG